UGAGGAAUAUUGGUCAAUGGACGAGAGUCUGAAUCAGCCAAGUAGCGUGAAGGAUGACUGCCCUAUGGGUUGUAAACUUCUUUAUACGGGAAUAAAGUUUGCCACGUGUGGCAUUUGUAUGUACCGUAUGAAUAAGGAUCGGCUAACUCCGUGCCAGCAGCCGCGGUAAUACGGAGGAUCCGAGCGUUAUCCGGAUUUAUUGGGUUUAAAGGGAGCGUAGGCGGAUGCUUAAGUCAGUUGUGAAAGUUUGCGGCUCAACCGUAAAAUUGCAGUUGAUACUGGGUGUCUUGAGUACAGUAGAGGUAGGCGGAAUUCGUGGUGUAGCGGUGAAAAUGCUUAGAUAUCACGAAGAACUCCGAUUGCGAAGGCAGCCUGCUGGACUGUACUGACGCUGAUGCUCGAAAGUGUGGGGUAUCAAACAGGAUUAGAUACC
This 433-nucleotide ribosomal RNA is filed under the name uncultured bacterium. RNAcentral's name for it is "bacterial SSU rRNA". It matches the Rfam family "Bacterial small subunit ribosomal RNA", at positions 355 to 786 of the family's 1533-position model. The record is from RNAcentral.